AUGCCUCCCCUCUACGUAUUUUCGCUCGGGCUUCUCCUCCUCUUGCACAUUCCUCAUUGGUGCCCCUCGUCCGCAGCUGCAAGCGAUACCCUCACGGCGGGCCAAUCUCUCGCCGUCGGCAGCAAGCUCGUCUCGAGAAACGGCAAGUUCGCGCUCGGCUUCUUUCAGCCAGCAGCAGGCAUCACCAGUAAGUCCCAGAACACCACCAGCUCCAGCUGGUACCUUGGCAUAUGGUUCAACAAGAUCCCAGUUUUUACUGCUGUGUGGGUUGCUAACAGGGACCAGCCCAUCACUGGCCCCAACCUCAACCUAACACAGCUCAAGAUAUCGAGCUAUGGCAAUCUUGUCAUCGUGAACAACGAUUCUGUAGUUUGGUCCACUCACACUGUCAAUAAUAGGACACAAACCAGCAGCAUAAACACCACUACUGGUGCUGCCGUUCUCUUGAACAGUGGAAACCUUGCCCUUACAGUCACAGAGAGCCCAUCAUCAUCUGACCUACCGUUGUGGCAGAGCUUUGAUUACCCAACAGAUAUUUUUCUUCCUGGUUCCAAGUUUGGCCGGAACAAGGUCACCGGCUUGAUUCAUCAGAGCAUCUCAAAGAAGAGCCUCAUUGAUCCGGGUCUUGGCUCAUACAGCAUUGAACUAGAAGAAACCAAGGGGAUCGUCCUCAAGCGCCGCAACCCCUUGGUAGUGUAUUGGCACUGGGCAUCCUCCAAAACAUCAUCGUUGAGUCUUAUACCAAUACUCAAUUCCAUUCUGGAUUUGGAUCCACGGACCAAAGGUUUGAUUAACACAACAUAUGUUGAUAACAACCAAGAGGAGUACUACACAUACACUUCACCGAAUGAAUCAUCUCCCACAUUUGUCUCACUAGACAUCUCUGGUCUGAUAAAGCUGAAUGUUUGGUCACAAGCCAACCAGUCUUGGCAAAUUAUAUAUACCCAGCCUGCCGAUCCCUGCACUCCGGCUGCUACCUGUGGACCUUUCACAGUCUGCAACGGCAUUGCACAGCCAUUCUGUGACUGUAUGAUGAACUUCUCUCAGAAGUCACCUCUGGAUUGGGAGUUUAAUGAUCGAACAGGAGGAUGCAUCAGAAGUACACCGUUACACUGCAACACUAGUAGUAACAACAAAAACAUCACAAGUUCAACAGACAUGUUCCACUCCAUUGCUCAAGUUACAUUGCCCUACAACCCGCAAAGCAUAGACUUUGCUAACACACAGAGCGAAUGCGAAGAAGCUUGUCUCAGUUCCUGCUCCUGCACUGCUUAUUCCUAUAACAGUAGCAGAUGCUCUGUCUGGCAUGGGGAAUUGCUUAGUGUAAAUCUGAAUGAUGGGAUUGAUAAUACUUCUGAAGAUGUUCUUUACCUUCGCCUUGCUGUCAAAGAUUUGCUGCCAAGUUUGAGAAAAAACAAAAGAAAACCAAACGUCGGAGUGGUCACUGCUGCAAGAAUUUUUGGUUUUGGGUUACUAAUGCUCAUGGUGUUGUUACUUAUUUGGAGGAACAAAUUCAAGUGGUGUGGUUCCCCUUUAUACGACAAUCAAGGUAGUGCUGGUGGGAUUAUAGCCUUCAGAUACACCGAAUUAGUUCAUGCCACUAAAAACUUCUCAGAAAAGCUUGGAGGAGGUGGUUUUGGUUCAGUAUACAAGGGAGUGUUAAGUGACUUGAAGACUACUAUAGCAGUGAAAAAGCUUGAUGGUGCUCAGCAAGGAGAGAAGCAAUUCAGGGCCGAGGUGAGCUCAAUUGGACUGAUCCAACAUAUCAAUCUUGUCAAAUUGAUUGGUUUCUGCUGCGAAGGUGAUCACAGAUUACUUGUAUACGAACACAUGUUAAAUGGGUCUCUUGACGGUCAUCUAUUUAAGAAGAGCAAUAAUGCCGAUGCUGCUGUCCUAAACUGGAACAGCAGAUAUCAGAUAACCUUAGGAGUUGCCAGAGGGUUGUCCUACUUGCAUCAGAGUUGCCAUGAAUGCAUCAUACACUGUGAUGUUAAGCCAGAAAACAUACUUGUGGACACAUCAUUUGUUCCUAAAGUUGCAGACUUUGGGUUGGCAGCGUUUGUGGGAAGGGAUUUUAGCCGAAUUCUAACUACGUUCAGAGGAACUGCAGGCUAUCUUGCCCCAGAGUGGCUUACCGGAGUUGCUAUUGCACCGAAAGUUGAUGUUUAUGGCUUUGGCAUGGUGCUGCUGGAGGUCUUAUCAGGAAGGAGGAAUUCACCUGAAAUAUACAACACUAGCAGCAGCGGCAGUUACCGUGUUGAAUAUUUCUCGGUGCAAGCCAUCAGCAAGCUUCAUGGGGGAGAUGUGAGGAGUUUGGUGGAUCCACGGUUGCAUGGUGACUUCAAUUUGGAAGAGGCUGAAAGGGUUUGCAAAGUUGCAGGUUGGUGCAUCCAAGAUAAUGAGUUUGAUCGGCCGACGAUGGGUGAAGUCGUCCGGGUUCUCGAGGGUCUACAGGAGAUUGAUGUGCCCCCGAUGCCAAGACUACUUGCAGCUAUAACGGCACAACCUGGUGCUGCAACUUGA
This 2523-nucleotide ribosomal RNA is filed under the name Triticum aestivum (bread wheat). RNAcentral describes it as "partial small subunit ribosomal RNA". The record is from RNAcentral. Lineage: Eukaryota; Viridiplantae; Streptophyta; Magnoliopsida; Poales; Poaceae.